RNAcentral lists this long non-coding RNA (367 nucleotides) under Bos taurus (domestic cattle). RNAcentral's name for it is "long non-coding RNA NONBTAT024393". Lineage: Eukaryota; Metazoa; Chordata; Mammalia; Artiodactyla; Bovidae. The record is from RNAcentral.
UGCCUAGGAAAUUUCUUUUGUUCUACAUUUGACAUGUGAAAUCUGGGUCUAAGUAUACUUUAAAGCCAGUGCCUAGAAACCUGCAAAGCACAAAUUAUUAGCCACAGAUUUCUCAACCAACAACUCUAUUAAAACUUGUAACAAGCGUUUGUCUUCCUCGUGCCAGAAAAUAACGAAACUUUUCCAAGCUCAAUUUCAAGACAGCAAAGUAAAGCAAUAUACACAAUCUUUAAUAAUGGUUAAUAUUCAAUGCUAGGUUACCAGAAAUAACUUAAUAUAACCUUGCUAUUCCAGAAGCCUUCUUAAAAUUAACACAAAUACAGUAAUGUUUUGCUAAAUUUAGUAAAAUUUGCUGAGUUAAGAGAAC